CAGGGACUACAGAUGUGGGGAAGUUUGAGAGAAGCAGUCAGACUGUAGUGAAGAGGUUGCAUAAUGUAUGCAUGUUAUCUACAGUAAAACAGUAAUGUUCCAGUACAUUAAUGGUUUCCUGCAUCUGCGGUGUCUUUCAUCUUCAUCUCUCUGUGUGGGCUGUGUGUAAGCGUGGUAACAGGCCCUUCUGGCCCAACAAGUCCACACCGCCCAUUUUAAACCCAUAUUAACCUACCUGUACGUCUUUGGAAUGUGGGAAGAAACCGGAGCACCCGGAGGAAACCGACACAGACACAGGAGAACAUACAAACUUCUUACAGACAGGGACGGGAAUCGAAACCCGAUCACUGGCGCUGUAACAGCGUCGCGCUAACCGCUACGCUACCAUGUCGCCCACAGUUACUUUUGAAGAGUAACACCACCAGCCCUAACCUUCCAAAUGAGGUCACGGAAAUGCUCCCAGCUCCAUGCGGCUCACUCUUGGAACCGGUUUCCUGGGUGACCUCUUCCCAUUGCUGCUUUAUUUCUGCUUGAGGUGUCCAACUUCCCCACAUAGACACUAGGAGAUUCUGGUGGCCUGCCCCGCAGGUGAGGCUCCUUUCACCAUCUGAUCCAGUGCAACUGGACAUGGCCUUGUGUUUCUGUGAUUAGCUGGAGCACUGGUGGCAGGUCGCACGGGAUGAGGAUCCCCCACGCUCAGGAUAUCUACUGACAGAUAAGUAACCUGCAGUAACAGUGGAAACAGUGAAGUGAGUGCAUGAAGUGUAUACAAUAUAGGCAUCGGGAUCACAAAAGAAUUACAGAUGCCAGCAGCCUGUGACUAUUGAACGGUUCCCUUAUACGAUGAGAUGGACUCUUGACCUCACAAUCUACCUUGUUAUGACCUUGCACCUUAUUGUCUACCUGCACUGCACUUCCCUGUAGCUGUGACACUUUACUCUGUGUUCUGUUAUUGUUUUAACCCUGUACUUCCUCAAUGCACUGUGUAAUGAAUUGAUCUGUAUGAACAGUAUGCAAGACAAGUUUUUCACUGUACUUCGGUACAAGUGACAAUAAUAAACUAAUACCAAUACCAAUACCAAUAAACAUGUGCAGGUCACCUGGACAGUGCUGAUCUUUGUUCUACCGUUUGCAGCCACCAAUCUCAAGAAAACGAGGAUAUGUAAAUUCUGCACAAAGGGUCAGUUCAGUUGUGGAUUUGCCAAUUAAAUUCCUUCUGUCUUUUUCAGUUCUGCCUCAUUUGAUCUCUGUACUGGAAAGCUUUUCAUUCUGUGACAUUAGUUUAUGGGACUAACAGCUUUGAUCUGAAGAAGUGGCUUGUUUUCUAGUGUGUAAGAACUUAAGCUAUUGAUUUGAUAUUGCUUGGGUUACUUUGAGAGGCCCAAAGCUGGCCAACCAAACAUUUUCCUCAAUUCGAAAUGGUGUUUACUCAGUCUAAUCCAGUUUAGUUCAGUCAAUAAUCUGUUAUCAUCAAAAUGACAGUUAAAUAAAUGUUAACAUUUCAUAAGUCAAAUAUUGAGAAACAUUUCAAAGUGAACUGCUGGAUCGUAUGAAGUAAUUCUGAUGGACAGUGUUCUUCUGCAAAUAAAUGUCAAUUGCUUGGUAAAGCAAAAUGUGUGCUGGAACCACGAGCUGUAACCUACCUCUGUGCUGUGAUUGUUCCCUCAUUCCUGACCAGUGGUCUUCUCACCAUCUGAAAUUCUGCUCCUGUUAACUGCAAAUUUGCUGGUUAUAGGCAAGCAAUGGACUGGACAUGGACUCAUGCACGCAGACACAGACAGACAGACAGACAGACAGACAGACAGACAGACACACACACACACACACACACACACACACACACACACACACACACACACACACACACACACACACACACACACACACACACACACACACACACACACACACACACACACGCAGAGUUGAAGCCUAAAUAAAAACUGCCUGGAUCUCCAACACAGUACAGAUUACUUCUUCAUCAGGUGUGAGCUGGGGAUGGUGGGGAGUGGGACUUAGUGGGGGCGGGGGGGAGUGUUCUGAAGAUGGAGAGGCAGGUGUGGUCUAGGAGGGGGAGGUGGAGAGUGCAGGGAAGAGCCUGGGGUUAAGGAGCUGGAAAUUGUGGGGAAGUAGUAGCCAGACAUUUUGAGUAAAGUCACACAUUCGACACAUAAUGUCUGGGGAGUGACAUAAAAGCAGAAAAUUCCUCAGUUAAGUUCAUCUUCCCUCAGGUGACCGUGAAAGUUUGGGAGGGCACAUGGACGAAAUGUUACCUGUCACCUUCUCCAUCCUGUAACAUUGUUUCACUCCGCAAUCAGUCCAGUGAAUGGGAUCUCAGACCAGCUGCAUUUGUAGCCCAUUGGAUGGUAGAACUGACCAGCAUGCAGCCAAAACAUCUCUUGGUUUAGGUAUGGGUAACUCUUGGUCUUGGUUUGGUAUGGGCAGGCACGGUAGUGUAGCAGUUAGCAUAACGUUAUUACAGCACCAGUGACUCGUGUUCAAUUCCCACUGCUGUCUGUAAGGAGUUUGUACCUUCUCCCUGUGACUGCAUGGGUUUCCUCCGGGUGUUCUGAUUUCCUCCCACAUUCCAAAGACGUAUGGGUUAGGAAGUUGUGGGCUGGCGUCGGAAGCAUGGCGACACUUGUGGG
Molecule: long non-coding RNA, 2648 nt
Organism: Pristis pectinata (smalltooth sawfish)
Lineage: Eukaryota; Metazoa; Chordata; Chondrichthyes; Rhinopristiformes; Pristidae
Exons: 3
Source: RefSeq, a predicted model, not a curated record